CUCCAACCUAAGUGUAUGUAUGUAAACUUCCGACUUCAACUGUAUAUUUAGGAGACAUUGAUGAGAAAGAAUGGCCAAGUGUUGAUUUUUGUAAAAACAGAGGUAGAGGUUGUGGUGAAGAGGGACAGGACACCACCCUGAGGACCAGUCAGGCUGACCAAUGAGAACGCACUACUUGACACCACCUUGGAGACAGCGAUCAGCAAGGACAGGAAUUACCCAAGUACAGUCCCACUCAGCAGCAGUGGCAUUAGGCUUCUUAGUGACAACAGGCUUAAAGAGGCGAAGCCUAAAAUCCAGAUGAUUCCGGUUGAUGAAGACCCAACUCAGGCGUUUCUUUUCUCCUGCUACGUUAGGUUAAUUGGUCAGAGGGUGGAGAGGUCAAGCCAACGUUGCACCUAAUAUGGUGUCCAACUCCACCCACGCUGUAUGCUCCUGCACCAGAGAUCUGUAUAUAGUGAUGAGAUGCACAUGCCUCCGCCCUAACUUUGGGAGUUGUUGUCCCAAAGGCGGUAAAGCUUAGGUCAAAAAUAAGCCUAUAGAAACGCACUGGUCUUAUUUUGGACAGAUUUUGGCGAGAGUGAAACGUCUCACUUCGCCACUCCCUCUCUCCCUGCACCCAUCUCAUCAGCUUCACCCUGUUCAGGGGAAUCCAAGAGAGAAAGUUGAUGCACAACAACACUGUCGAACUACUAAGAGGGAAAGGAGUCUGACAGCCACAUCGCGGCCCACACAGUAAAACCCCCUGCCUAACAAAUAUCAUUAAUUACCUGCAUGUCUGCAGCAUGGAAGCCAGCUGUGUUCUGGUGAAGGAGGUCCGACCGGAUUUCCGUUGUUAAAGCAUGGUUCCGGAGGGGAGUUGGGAAGUGCAACCCAUCUGUUCACUGCGGAGGAACACUUUUUGAUUCACAUGUCGACAUUUCAAAGUACCUUUCAUACAUUGAUACUGUUAAUGCUAAAAUAACUGUAUGUAUUUCAAAUCUGAUCAGUACCCUGAAACGUUAUAUCACAAUCAUGUGUAUUGAAAAUGUAUGUCUUGCAAAACUCACCUUCUACCUUACAAUGGACAGCUCCAUACACUGAGUAUACCGCCAUACACUGAUAUACCAAACAUUAGGAACAACUUCCUAAUAUUGAGUUGCACCCUCCCCUUUUGCCCUCACAACAGCCUCAAUUGGUCGGGGCAUGGACUCGGCAAGGUGUCGAAAGCAUUCAACAGGGAUGCUGGCCCAUGUUGACUCCAAUGCUUCCCACAGUUGUCAAGUUAGCUGAAUGUCCUUUAGGUGGGCCAUUCUUGAUACAUGGGAAAUGGUUGAGUGUUAAAAACCCAGCAGCGUUGCAGUUCUUUACACAAAGAGGUGCGUCUGGCACUUACUACCAUACCUCGUUCAAAGACACUUAAAUAUUUUCUUUCCCAUCCACCCUCUGAAUGGCACACAUACACAAUCCAUGUCUGAAUUGUCUCCAGGCUUUAAAAUCCUUUAACCGGUCUCCCCUUCAUUUACACACAGAUUGAAGUGGAUUUAACAAGUGACAUUAAUAAGGGAUCAUAGCUUUCACCUGGUCAGUGUGUCAUGGAAAGACCAGGUGUUCUUAAUGUUUUGUGUACUCAGUUUAUAUUAUUGAGGUAAAACUCCCUCUUGUCACUCUUUUAUUUUUGAAGUUGAUUCAUGAGUUUAUUUAUGUUGCAUUCGGUUCUGCACAGUUUGUUUUAAUUUCAAUUCAGUUUAUUUGUCUAUUUUAAUACUUUUUGGUUUAUCU
Molecule: long non-coding RNA, 1761 nt
Organism: Oncorhynchus tshawytscha (Chinook salmon)
Lineage: Eukaryota; Metazoa; Chordata; Actinopteri; Salmoniformes; Salmonidae
Source: Ensembl